Eriocheir sinensis (Chinese mitten crab) is the source of this 712-nucleotide long non-coding RNA. RefSeq lists it as uncharacterized. NCBI's taxonomy places the organism in Eukaryota, Metazoa, Arthropoda, Malacostraca, Decapoda, Varunidae. The transcript is spliced from 4 exons. The record is from RefSeq and is a predicted model, not a curated record.
CUAAUGAUUUGAGCCACUCUGUGAUGGCUGGAGCAGUGAGGGCCUGGUGGUGGGCAGAACGUGUGGAGACGGCCAAGUGGUGGUGAAGGCGCUGGCCGGCAAGGAGCACCAGCUGGGACCCCAACAUGGCUCUGUCACUCGCCAUAGCGAUGUGAGCAACUGCCUGGGAAAGUUGGGUGACGUCAUCUGGAUUCUUGUGCCAUGCAGCCGCCAGUUCCCAGGCCAUGUUGGUGAGCACAGAGUCACCUGCUACUGAGUGAGGGAACUUGUCUCCCACAUUCUCUAGCAACUCUGCAAACAUGGCACUGAAUAAAUGACUGGUGUCCAUCUCUAGCAAGUUUGUGGGGUGGCGUGGACUCCUCGGCACAGCAGUGCAGCCAAAUAGGCGUGAUAAGGCUGCUCGGAGGCCACCAGUUUGUCCCUCACCACAGUCCACCACUCACUCUGUUCACUUACGUCACUAACGAUCUUGCUUUCUGUUGGAGCUGUAUGUCUGCUUUAAGCUGUGUGGGCAGAGCCGAGGUGCCCACGUCUCUGGCCAGGACCCCAACAGACACAUCCCAACACCGGAUAUAUGACCCAAUGCUCAGCACCAACUCAGCCUCAGGAAACCUCACCUAAGACAGAUAUAACGUUCAGACAUUUCACAUUUAUGCCUAUGUAGAUAUGAUUCUGUUUUGAGAGUUUGAAUAACAUAAAAUAUACUCAUUUA